ACUACAUUUUUGCCACACUAUGGGGACGUGAGCAGUACACUUUGUAUGGCAUCUUAUUUGUGGUGUUUGCCAUACUACUCAGUGUCACUGCCUGCAUAUCAGUGGCUUUAACAUAUUUCCAGUUAUCAAGUGAAGAUUAUCGUUGGUGGUGGAGAUCUGUUUUCAGUGCUGGAUCAACUGGUUUCUUUGUAUUCUUAUAUUCACUAUUCUACUACUACAAGCGGUCAAACAUGUCUGGGUCGCUACAAACAGUGGAGUUCUUUGGUUGGACGUUAUUAACGUGUUUCAUCUUCUUCUUAAUGCUUGGAACCGUCUCGUUUUUCGCUUCAUUGAAAUUUAUACGCUACAUUUAUGUGAACUUGAAAAUGGAUUAAGCUGCCACCCCAUCAUGGAUGAGCUCUCACUCCUUCAAUGCAGUUGUGUGCUCCAGUCCAUAUGCACUAUGCUAUAAGGUCACUUAAAAACAGAUCAUGGGGUAUAGCAGGCUGUAAAUACUGCAACAUAGAGCAUUUUGCAUGUUUUUAUAGUUUUUAUUUUCUCUUAAUGUGGCCAGGGUUCCUAUGGAUCUUAUGUUUUGUUUUUACAUUCUUAAGGCCUUGAAAAAGUCUGGAAUUUUUUUCGGACAGGUCUUAAAAUUUCAAAAUAGUGCAUGACAUGCUAUCUGACGACUUUGUCAAGGAGUUUGACUUUCCAAGCAUAGACAACUUUUCUGAAAGUGUAUAUUUUGAUGCAAAAAAUAGAUUUUAAUUUUCAAAAAUAUGAUGAAACUUGUAAGAACCCUGCAUGCACAUAGAGGUUAAUCAUACAAACAUAAAUAUAGUAAGAUUGUCAAAAAAUGUCGGGGUUUGAGUUGUCGGGUUCCAAGGUAGAUUGGUUCUGUUGUCAACACAAAUUAUGUAUCACUAACUACUCAUCAAGAUACGUAAAAAGUGUUGAGCCAUAUUUCAUUUGCUUUGCAUUGUUCAAAUGUAUAUACACAAAUAUUAUAUUCGCAAUAUGGUGUACAUAGCUGUAGUAAGAUUAACAUAGAGGUAUUAAGUAUUGCAAUGAUAUUUUGAAAAUGGAAGAUUUUGACAAUUUAGAAAUUAUGAUUUAAAAAGAUAUACUUAAGUCACAAGAUGGCAAUACUACCUGUUGAGUCAAUUGUAAACUGUGAAACGUUUUGACUAUCGUUAAUCUUCGGUCUUGAAAUUUUAUAAAUCCAAUGCAUGAAACUUGCCUCUAGAGGGCAGUAUACUUAGUUCUGUGGUUUUACUAAGAGUUAAAAUCCUGACUACUCUACAGGAUGGCGUUUUGUACUAUUUUAACCUGAAUUAUCUCAAGUACACUUUAGUCUGUUGAGAUUUAACAUAUUCAUUUGUUUUGUCUGAUUAUUUGUUCUCAAUAUACAUUGAUGUCAUUAGAGAAUUCAAUUUGUUUACACCUAUAGCAUUUACCGUACUCUGUAAUGCUGCACCUUUUUGGUGUAAAACUCACUGCACCUGGUGGUAUAGCAAUAAAAACUGCAUGUUGGCGGCCACUGGAUGAACACUUGAUCAUUGAUUAUUCAAGAGCAUUUUAGCUCCCAUUUUAUUUAUUCUUUUACUUCGCCGAGUUUCACUGAGAUAAAAUUUGUAAGAGCAGUGUGUCAUGUUCAUAACUGUCUGUAUCGUCACUUGGACUAACAAACAAUUCGUGUAUAUGAUCAAUGACAGUCACUAUAAAUAUUUUUACAAUUUUUGCUUUUGAUGAUUAUACAAUAUUAUCAGUUCAUUUGAUUAUUCACAGUGAUGAACCAAGUAUAUUUAUGUUAUCUAUUGUAUGAGGUUACUGUCAAUUUUUGAGGUGCAUGAAAAUAUGGGUGUGGAUCAUUAGAUGCACUACUUGUACUACUUGUAAGCAUUGGGAAAUAAUAAAUUAAUUGUAUUUCACAAUUUAGUUGAAACUGUGAUAGUGAGCCCUCUAGAGGGGAGUUUUAUAAAACCUAAUACCAAAGGAAUAAAAUGUCUACUACUAGUUGAACAAA
This 2005-nucleotide long non-coding RNA is filed under the name Saccoglossus kowalevskii. RNAcentral's name for it is "uncharacterized LOC102800964". Lineage: Eukaryota; Metazoa; Hemichordata; Enteropneusta; Harrimaniidae. The record is from RNAcentral.